This 683-nucleotide ribosomal RNA is filed under the name Achromobacter sp. ORNaP2d. RNAcentral describes it as "bacterial SSU rRNA". It matches the Rfam family "Bacterial small subunit ribosomal RNA", at positions 11 to 688 of the family's 1533-position model. The record is from RNAcentral. Lineage: Bacteria; Pseudomonadati; Pseudomonadota; Betaproteobacteria; Burkholderiales; Alcaligenaceae.
GUUUGAUUCCUGGCUCAGAUUGAACGCUAGCGGGAUGCCUUACACAUGCAAGUCGAACGGCAGCACGGACUUCGGUCUGGUGGCGAGUGGCGAACGGGUGAGUAAUGUAUCGGAACGUGCCCAGUAGCGGGGGAUAACUACGCGAAAGCGUAGCUAAUACCGCAUACGCCCUACGGGGGAAAGCAGGGGAUCGYAAGACCUUGCACUAUUGGAGCGGCCGAUAUCGGAUUAGCUAGUUGGUGGGGUAACGGCUCACCAAGGCGACGAUCCGUAGCUGGUUUGAGAGGACGACCAGCCACACUGGGACUGAGACACGGCCCAGACUCCUACGGGAGGCAGCAGUGGGGAAUUUUGGACAAUGGGGGAAACCCUGAUCCAGCCAUCCCGCGUGUGCGAUGAAGGCCUUCGGGUUGUAAAGCACUUUUGGCAGGAAAGAAACGUCAUGGGUUAAUACCCCGUGAAACUGACGGUACCUGCAGAAUAAGCACCGGCUAACUACGUGCCAGCAGCCGCGGUAAUACGUAGGGUGCAAGCGUUAAUCGGAAUUACUGGGCGUAAAGCGUGCGCAGGCGGUUCGGAAAGAAAGAUGUGAAAUCCCAGAGCUUAACUUUGGAACUGCAUUUUUAACUACCGGGCUAGAGUGUGUCAGAGGGAGGUGGAAUUCCGCGUGUAGCAGUGAAAUG